Molecule: long non-coding RNA, 260 nt
Filed under: Vigna radiata
Lineage: Eukaryota; Viridiplantae; Streptophyta; Magnoliopsida; Fabales; Fabaceae
Description: long non-coding RNA (VRAD_LNC008929)
Source: RNAcentral
GUUAAGAUAAAGUGAAUGAAUUUUCAAUCUCCUGCUCAUUUUUUUUUUAGAAUUCACUAACCUUUUAACGUUUAACGCUGGGGCAUUCGACGUUUUAUAUCCUUUUACGUCAAAUUACAAUUCUAAACGACAUUUAAUAAUUGCAUUUAUUUACAAAAGUGCCACCGGUCAUUUUUAAUGUUUGCUAUUAAGUAGUUCGACGUUAAACGCGUGACGUUAUACUCUAUUUUUGCACUAGUGAUGAUUUGUUAAUUUCUUUU